CAGACGAUGAAGUUGGGGUCUGCGCGGCGGUCCCAGCACCUCCCCGCAGGCCCGGGCCUGAGCUCCCCGUGCCCUGCGGUGGGUCUGACCUCGCCCAGGGCUCUGAAGACCCAAAUCCAGGCCUGUAACAAGCGUCCAGAGCCAGACUCGGAGAAGGACGGGGCUGGCGGGGGCCUAGGAAGGGGCUGCACCGGGCUCCCGGCAGGGCUGGGGCAGGGGCACUGACUGUCUCUACACCCUCAGGUCGUGGCCGCUCUGCAUUAUUUCUUCCUGAGCCACCUUUGGGGUUCACGCUGCUGCUCUUUCUACAUUUCCUGAGCGAGAGGGUUAACCCUUCCUUGGUCUCCGCCGUGAACACACGCAGACGAGGCCGUGGGCCCCCCUCUCCAGCUGCAGUUCAUCAAUUUUUGUAAAUACCCUUGUGGGCUACCUUUAUGUGUAACAGUCAAAAACUGGAAACACUCGAAAUGCCCGUCAGCGGGCAGACGGACGAACAGCCUGCGGUACAUCUUUGCUUGGAUACGGCUCAGCAGCGAAAAGGGAGGAACCACCAAUUCAAGCGACAGUACGGAUGCAUUGCAAGGUCAUUUCUUCCGAGUGGAAGAAGCCAGUAAAAGUGUAGGUUCUGUAUGUUUCCACUUACGUGAAACUCUGGAAAAUGCAAACUUAUCUGUAGUGACAGCAGCCGUUGUGGGGAGAGGGGUCCAAGGAAACUUUUUGGGUGACAAACACGUUUACUUACCUUCCUCGUGAUGGUUUCAUGGACAUACACAUACUUAAAACCUGAACAAAGUGUCCACAUUAAAUGUGUUCAGUUUGCUGUAUGUCAGUUUUGCCUCAGUAGAGCUGUUGGAAAGGAUUUCCCUGUGUGCUUGGUGAGAAGCGUCCGUCCUAAGGCUGUUGAAUGCAGUGCCCUCUCCAUACCCAUGUUAUUCAGAUCUCGCUGUCCUUAUGGAUCAGCACCCCUGCUUGUACUGUUAUCUACUGAGGGAGGUGUAUAAAGUAACCCCACAGGGAUUGUGGGUUUGUGUCUCUUGUGGUUCUGUUAUUUUUGGUUUGGUUGUUACAAGGCCAUGUUAUUAGUCACAUACAAAUUUAAAAUUCUUUUAUGUUCUUGAUGGAUUGAUUCUACUAUCAUUCUCAAAUAAUCUUUUAAUCACUGGUAAUUCUUAUGUCUUCAAGUCUGUUUGUCCGAUACUACUAUAACGUUCAUUGGGUUAGUAUUACCCAGGGGAUCUUUUUCUUUCCUUACCUCCUAACACUUCUUUACCCUCUUGUCUUAAAUAUUUCUCUUAUAAAACAGCGUAUGAUGGAGUUUUUAAAAGUCCUGUCUGAUCAGCUUGUUAUUUUAAGAGGUGCAUUUAGUUAACUUUAUUUAAUGUAAUAACUAAUAUAUUGGGGUUUAGAUGUACCAUCUUAUUUUGUGCUUUAUAUUUUCCCCACCUGUUUUUACCUUCCUGACACUUCCUUGGAUUAUUUUUCAAUUCAUCAUUUUCUUUGUACUAAUGUGUAAUAAAUAUAUGUA
Molecule: long non-coding RNA, 1525 nt
Organism: Delphinapterus leucas (beluga whale)
Lineage: Eukaryota; Metazoa; Chordata; Mammalia; Artiodactyla; Monodontidae
Source: RefSeq, a predicted model, not a curated record